CGCACCUUGCGCCCCUUGGCAUUCCGAGGGGCAUGCCCGUUUGAGUGUCUUGAAUUCAUCCUCCCGUCGGUUUCGCGACCUGUCGGGUUGGGACUUGGGGGUCUUUGCUGCUGCGUGAGCGGUGGCUCCCCUCGAAUGGAUCGGUGGGAUUUUGCCGGAUUGCGCAUCCCUUGGGCGUUGUAUUGUCCUCGUCCGCAGCGGAUUGCCCCGGCGUCGCCCGCUUCGACCUUGCCCGCAGAGGGGCGGUCAAUACAUUUUUUGAAAUCUGACCUCAAAUCGGGUAGGACUACCCGCUGAACUUAA
This 303-nucleotide unclassified non-coding RNA is filed under the name Fibrodontia gossypina. RNAcentral's name for it is "partial contains 5.8S ribosomal RNA, internal transcribed spacer 2, and large subunit ribosomal RNA". The record is from RNAcentral. Lineage: Eukaryota; Fungi; Basidiomycota; Agaricomycetes; Trechisporales; Hydnodontaceae.